Molecule: ribosomal RNA, 500 nt
Filed under: uncultured bacterium
Lineage: Bacteria
Description: partial 16S ribosomal RNA
Rfam family: Bacterial small subunit ribosomal RNA
Source: RNAcentral
AUUGAACGCUGGCGGAAUGCUUUACACAUGCAAGUCGAACGGCAGCACGGACUUCGGUCUGGUGGCGAGUGGCGAACGGGUGAGUAAUGUAUCGGAACGUGCCCAGUCGUGGGGGAUAACGUAGUGAAAAUUACGCUAAUACCGCAUACGAUCUAUGGAUGAAAGCGGGGGAUCGCAAGACCUCGCGCGAUUGGAGCGGCCGAUAUCAGAUUAGGUAGUUGGUGGGGUAAAGGCCCACCAAGCCAACGAUCUGUAGCAGGUCUGAGAGGACGACCAGCAAGACGGGAACUGAGACGCGGUCCAGACUCCUACGGGAGGCAGCAGUGGGGAAUUUUGGACAAUGGGCGAAAGCCUGAUCCAGCCAUUCCGCGUGCAGGAUGAGGGCCCUCGGGUUGUAAACUGCUUUUGUACAGAACGGAAAGGUUUCUACUAAUACUAGGAGCUCAUGACGGUACUGUAAGAAUAAGCACCGGCUAACUACGUGCCAGCCGCCGCCGUAA